This 468-nucleotide ribosomal RNA is filed under the name uncultured bacterium. RNAcentral's name for it is "partial 16S ribosomal RNA". It matches the Rfam family "Bacterial small subunit ribosomal RNA", at positions 28 to 507 of the family's 1533-position model. The record is from RNAcentral.
GACGAACGCUGGCGGCGUGCUUAACACAUGCAAGUCGAACGGAAAGGCCCUGCUUUUGUGGGGUGCUCGAGUGGCGAACGGGGGAGUAACACGUGAGUAACCUGCCCUUGACUUUGGGAUAACUUCAGGAAACUGGGGCUAAUACCGGAUAGGAGCUCCUGCUGCAUGGUGGGGGUUGGAAAGUUUCGGCGGUUGGGGAUGGACUCGCGGCUUAUCAGCUUGUUGGUGGGGUAGUGGCUUACCAAGGCUUUGACGGGUAGCCGGCCUGAGAGGGUGACCGGCCACAUUGGUCCUGAGAUACGGCCCAGACUCCUACGGGCGGCAGCAGUGGGGAAUAUUGCACAAUGGGCGGAAGCCUGAUGCAGCAACGCCGCGUGCGGGAUGACGGCCUUCGGGUUGUAAACCGCUUUCGCCUGUGACGAAGCGUGAGUGGCGGUAAUGGGUAAAGAAGCACCGGCUAACUACGUG